RNAcentral lists this long non-coding RNA (214 nucleotides) under Mytilus galloprovincialis (Mediterranean mussel). The record is from RNAcentral. Lineage: Eukaryota; Metazoa; Mollusca; Bivalvia; Mytilida; Mytilidae.
AAAUACUGUAAACCAACUUAUUUUCGCGAGCGAUUUAUUUUCGCGACUUUCGCGAAUAGAAAAAUAACGCGAAUAUUAAUCGUCGCGAAUAUGUUAUACAUGGAUCAUUCCUUAUUGAACUUCAGAAAAUCGCGAAAUUAAAUAGCCGCAAAGUGGUCUGAAAAGGGUAAAACGCGAAAUUAAGUAUCCGCGAAAAUAAGUUGGUUUACAGUAG